AUACGUAGGGGGCGAGCGUUAUCCGGAUUUACUGGGCGUAAAGGGCGUGUAGGCGGUCUUGCAAGUCAGAAGUGAAAUUCCUGAGCUCAACUCGGGCGCUGCUUCUGAAACUGCAGGACUUGAGUGCUGGAGGGGAUAGCGGAAUUCCUAGUGGAGCGGUAAAAUGCGCAGAUAUUAGGAAGAACACCGGUGGCGAAGGCGGCUAUCUGGACAGUAACUGACGCUGAGGCGCGAAAGCGUGGGGAGCAAACAGGAUUAGAUACCCUGGUAGUCCACACUGUAAACGAUGAAGGCUAGGUGUAGGGGGUAUCGACCCCUUCUGUGCCGCAGUCAACACAAUAAGCAUUCCGCCUGGGGAGUACGGCCGCAAGGUUGAAACUCAAAUGAAUUGGCGGGG
This 397-nucleotide ribosomal RNA is filed under the name uncultured bacterium. RNAcentral describes it as "partial 16S ribosomal RNA". It matches the Rfam family "Bacterial small subunit ribosomal RNA", at positions 523 to 918 of the family's 1533-position model. The record is from RNAcentral.